Molecule: ribosomal RNA, 492 nt
Filed under: uncultured bacterium
Lineage: Bacteria
Description: partial 16S ribosomal RNA
Rfam family: Bacterial small subunit ribosomal RNA
Source: RNAcentral
AGUGAACGCUGGCGGUAGGCCUAACACAUGCAAGUCGAACGGCAGCACAGUAAGAGCUUGCUCUUACGGGUGGCGAGUGGCGGACGGGUGAGGAAUACAUCGGACUCUACUUUUUCGUGGGGGAUAACGUAGGGAAACUUACGCUCAUACAGCAUACGACCUACGGGUGAAAGCAGGGGAUCUUCGGACCUUGCGCGAAUGAAUGAGCCGAUGUCGGAUUAGCUAGUUGGCGGGGUAAAGGCCCACCAAGGGGACGAUCCGUAGCUGGUCUGAGAGGAUGAUCAGCCACACUGGAACUGAGACACGGUCCAGACUCCUACGGGAGGCAGCAGUGGGGAAUAUUGGACAAUGGGCGCAAGCCUGAUCCAGCCAUACCGCGUGGGUGAAGAAGGCCUUCGGGUUGUAAAGCCCUUUUGUUGGGAAAGAAAAGCAGCAGGUUAAUACCCCGCUGUUCUGACGGUACCCAAAGAAUAAGCACCGGCUAACUUCGUG